Molecule: non-coding RNA, 2959 nt
Organism: Ceratotherium simum simum (southern white rhinoceros)
Lineage: Eukaryota; Metazoa; Chordata; Mammalia; Perissodactyla; Rhinocerotidae
Source: RefSeq, a predicted model, not a curated record
GUGUCGUUAACCUGACCACAUCAGCCACCUACCCACUGAUGCCAAGCAGAAGCAUAGCACCAGCCCUGGACCAUGCGACAGCAGAUGCUGCCACAGACUGGGCCACAGAGCCCGCCACACUGGACCUGGCCAGAGAAACCAAAGGGCUCCCAGAGACCAGGACGGACGCAGCCAUGUCAGAGCUGGUGCCUGAGCCCAGGCCUAAGCCGGCAGUGCCCAUGAAGCCUGUCAGCAUCAACUCCAACCUGCUGGGCUACAUUGGCAUUGACACCAUCAUCGAGCAGAUGCGCAAGAAGACCAUGAAGACUGGUUUUGACUUCAACAUCAUGGUCGUUGGUCAGAGUGGGCUGGGCAAAUCAACACUGGUCAACACACUCUUUAAAUCUCAAGUGAGCCGCAAGGCCUCCAGUUGGAACCGGGAAGAGAAGAUUCCCAAGACAGUGGAGAUCAAAGCUAUCGGGCACGUGAUAGAGGAAGGCGGUGUCAAAAUGAAGCUGACCGUCAUCGACACCCCGGGCUUUGGAGACCAGAUUAACAAUGAAAACUGCUGGGAGCCCAUUGAGAAGUACAUCAAUGAACAGUACGAGAAGUUCCUGAAGGAGGAGGUGAAUAUUGCCAGGAAGAAACGCAUCCCUGACACUCGCGUCCACUGCUGCCUCUACUUCAUCUCCCCCACAGGACACUCCUUGCGACCUCUUGAUCUGGAGUUCAUGAAACACCUCAGCAAAGUUGUGAACAUCAUCCCUGUCAUUGCUAAGGCUGACACCAUGACCCUGGAGGAGAAGUCUGAAUUCAAGCAAAGGGUUCGCAAGGAGCUUGAAGUAAAUGGCAUUGAAUUCUACCCCCAGAAGGAAUUUGAUGAGGAUUUGGAGGACAAGACGGAGAAUGACAAAAUCCGGCAGGAGAGCAUGCCUUUCGCUGUGGUGGGAAGUGACAAGGAGUACCAAGUGAAUGGCAAGCGAGUCCUUGGCAGAAAAACACCCUGGGGGAUCAUUGAAGUGGAAAACCUCAACCACUGUGAGUUCGCCCUGCUUCGAGACUUUGUCAUCAGGACCCACCUCCAGGACCUCAAGGAAGUGACACACAACAUCCACUAUGAGACCUACAGGGCCAAGCGGCUCAAUGACAACGGAGGCCUCCCUCCGGUGAGCGUGGACACAGAGGAAAGCCACGACAGUAACCCAUGAUGACCCUUUCUCUGUAUCAUCACACAUACCCACUGCUCCACACACACGCAUCCCAAAUACCACUACCAACCACCUUCUUCCUUUCUACUCUGUCCCACAGGCCUGUCUGGUAUUUGUGGAGCAUCUUGUCUACAGUAUGUGUGUGUAUGUAUGUGUAUGAGAGGGAGAGAGUGUGCCUUGUGUGUGUGUGAGCGCGCGUGUGCAGGGGUGAGGUAUUUUCAGUGCCCUCCCUGGUAAGUCCCUUGUAAGUUUGGUUCCUCCAUGGCUGUCCAUUAUCUGUCUCCUUUCCUUGUGUCCCAGAACAAAGCCGUGUGCCUCACUCAAGAGGUCUGGGGGAGGUUUCAUUUAAAAAUGAUGGGAGCAGGUGAGCCCCAGGUAACUCCUUCUUAUCUCUGACCCUGCCCACAACCUGGGACUGCAGAGAUUCUCCAAAGACAGGCUGCGGAGCUAGACCUGGGAUGGGGGUGAGGAGUUUGGGGCUUAACCUUCCUUGUCAGCCCUGGGUGGUCUGGGGUAAGGCUGGGACUUCCUGGGAAAAGGAAGGUCAGGGAAGAGCAGAGGAGUAGGCUGGAGCUGGGCUCCUGCAGAAAGAGCUAGUGCCUAGAAGUGGAGAGGAGAGCUCCACCCUUCAGUCUGUGUCGCCUUCACUGUCCGGGAGCUACCACUUGUCGCUGUCACAGACUGGCGCUUUCCACACUCACCUCACCUCACCUGCCUCUGCUGCCACUUUCUCUCUUUCCCCUUCUCAUCCUUUCUUCAUCCUGCCCCCCUCUGGACUUCCUUCACUUCCUUGUAUACUAAUCCACUUUAGCUACAUUUCUAUAUUUAGGAUUUAUGCCCAGUCUACUUCCAAAAAUGACUUAGGCCACCUUAAAAUAAAAUUACAGCUAAAAGCACAGGACAGUACAAACUGAGAUUACGAGAGAAAUCGGAUCCAUAGAGAGGAACGGGAAGGAAAGGUCUUUCCGUCGAGCGCUGAAAUUGGCCCUGAGCUUGUGGGCAGCCCAGGCAAGGGAGGAAACAUGGAGAGGUACGCGGUUCCCAGUAUCCGGUUACAGAAGCACACAUGCUGGUCAAGUGAGAUGAGCCUUUUUUUAGGCAUUAAGUUCUAGAAGAACUGAGUCUAAAGAAGUAUCAAGAACUAUAUACAGUAUUUAUCUUUCUUGGUGGUUUGGCUUCAGAGACAAAUUUUAAAUGACAUCUCCCUUUUCUCCAUCAGGAUUCUUCCUCCUUAAAGCUGGCUUCUCUGUUGCUCCCUUCUUCUCAUCCAUACUUGAUCCCCUCUUUCCUUCCACACUGUUCUCUUUCACUCUUGUGCUGAAGCUAAUUGCAUUUUUGUCUGUCUGUCUAUCUGUUUCUGUCUUUCCCUGAUUCCCCCUCCUGACUCCUGUAGACAUUCCCAAUGACACUUACCGUCAAACAUUUAGACUCUUCUUGCCUUUGCCUUCAGCCCUGUAUUUAUUAAUGCAUAUAUAUCCCCUGUUUGUUUCACAAACAAGUUACUCUUUCUUCUCUAGUCUGUAGAGUGGCUGACAUCUGGGGCUGGGGAAACACUUUAGCCUUAGGCAACGGAAAACACCAAGUGAUAGAGUUUACAGUAACCUCAUACAACCUCCUGUCCCAUCUCCUGGUCCAACCUUAGGUGUUUUACUGGUCCUCUACAAAUCUCAGCAUUUAUAGUCCCUUAUCACUCAGGUGCUAGGAAAACACAUAGACUGAAGACCAAGAUUCAGUGGACCAGGAGAAAGAGGGAGAAGGCCUCCUGGGCACUG